RNAcentral lists this ribosomal RNA (440 nucleotides) under uncultured bacterium. RNAcentral's name for it is "partial 16S ribosomal RNA". It matches the Rfam family "Bacterial small subunit ribosomal RNA", at positions 338 to 795 of the family's 1533-position model. The record is from RNAcentral.
CCUACGGGAGGCAGCAGUAGGGAAUAUUGCUCAAUGGGGGAAACCCUGAAGCAGCAACGCCGCGUGGAGGAUGAAGGUUUUCGGAUUGUAAACUCCUUUUGUUAGAGAAGAUAAUGACGGUAUCUAACGAAUAAGCACCGGCUAACUCCGUGCCAGCAGCCGCGGUAAUACGGAGGGUGCAAGCGUUACUCGGAAUCACUGGGCGUAAAGAGCGCGUAGGCGGGAUAGCAAGUCAGAUGUGAAAUCCUAUGGCUUAACCAUAGAACUGCAUUUGAAACUGUUAUUCUAGAGUAUGGGAGAGGUAGGUGGAAGGCUUGGUGUAGGGGUAGAAUGCGUAGAGAUCAAGAGGAAUACUCAUGGCGAAGGCGACCUGCUAGAACAUAACUGACGCUGAGGCGCGAAAGCGUGGGGAGCAAACAGGAUUAGAUACCCGAGUAGUC